CCCCCUCAGCCGUGGGAGGCUUGCGGUCCGGUCCCCUCGCCCUCGGGCUCUCGCUCGCCUUCCGGUUCCGCCUCUCACCUGCCCCGAGGUGUCGGGGCGGGACGGGCCACCUGGAGAGGAGGAAGAGCCUUAGAAACCCGGAGUCAGGAAAUCUGCAGUGUCUUCUGGGUUCUAGCAGGAUCUGUUGUCCUGUCGUUACAAGCUCUGCUUGCACUCAGAGAGUACCACCUCUGGCACCACGGCCACCUCCCGUGCCCAGGCCUCAUCGUCCCUCUGACAGAGAGCGAGGAUCUCUUGGCUCUGAAGGAAAGCAGCUACAGGCAGCCCCUGAGCCCCUUUUCUCUGACAGAUUUCAGAGCCAAGAUCCUUAAGGGGGGACGUGGUGGGCAGUUCGACAUGAACAGAGCGAGGACGCUGGGCCAGCUGCAGGAGGUCACCGCGGUGGAAAGCCCCGGGUGGGACCUCGCCCCCAGGUUGUAUUUCAGCUCCAGGCCCAGAAAAAGCAACAAAACCAGCCACAGCGGAGGCCAGGACCAGCUGCAGGGAAUAAUGACCCCGCCCUGGUGCCGGCCCAUCAAUCCGUGGAGACCACAACCUUGAAAGGACACACCUGGGAAGCUGCUGGGCCUUCUGCUGAGAUCUUCCCCUGGGACCUUCCCUAAAAUCUCCACCUUAAAGCCCUUAGGACUGAGACCCAAGUUUGUCAGUCCUCCCGGGAGCCUGUCCUCCCUCCCGGGAGCCGCCCAAGCCUUUGCCCUUUCCCUGGCCCCUCCCCUGCCCCGCAAGCACAUUGCCAUCACCUUCCUCCUUCCCAAGCCCUAAGAGAGCUGUCUAGAACUUGUUUCCUAGGUUUACCAAAUAAAUGUUCUCUUAUUUAAAAACAAAAUCUAAGAAGAUUUUUUAAAAGCGGAGCCCAGCAGCCAUUUCUGCACAGGGGCCUCUCAGCAGACGCCACUCCUCGGAGCAGCUCCUCUGUGCUGGGCGGCCUGCCUGCCGACGCACCACCUGCUCCCUGCACGCAGUCAGCCCUUUAAAGGCCUCCUAGAGCCCUAUUCCAGCCACCAGGACGGAGGCGGCCCCUGUGCAAUCGGAUAUGGGAAGGGGUCGUGCAUCAGGGGUUUGUGUGUGUCCCACGGGGCCCUAAGGAGGGGAGCUGGAGUCAGUGGACAGAAGUCAGGCGUAUUUCAGCCCAACGCAGUGAUUUCCAGCAAGCGAUCGAAAGAUGGAAUCGCACUGCCUCUGCAGGCGGUGAGCUCUCAAUCUGGGCGUCCCAGUGCCGUCCGAGUGGCCACUUGGUGGGAGUGUUGUAGAAGGAAGUCCUCAGACGGGGAGCUGAGCCAGGAUGUCGCUUUACUACGAACCCCCAAAACAGGGAUGUUACGCCCAAAGAACCAUAAGCGGACCACAGGGCAAUCCAAGACAGUUUGGUGUGUAAAUAAGUGAAAGUCAAGAAAUGCGAUCUUACUGAAAAACCAGGGAAUAGGAGGGUUUCAUUAUUGUUCACAUUAUAUUAGUAGUGCAUUUGGUUGGUUUAAAACAUUUUUUUUUUUUUUAGUUUUAAAAAUUGAUUCUCAGAGAGAGAGGAGAGGAGAGAGAAACGUCACACACACCCCAACCGGGGAUCGAACCUGCAACCCGGGCCUGUGCCCUGACUGGAAAUCGAACUGGUUCACAGGUCGACGCUCAACCGCUGAUGUGCCAGAGCCUGUGCCAGGCGCCAGGGGUCAAGCAGGAGUGAUCCCGUCACCAGAAGUGCCACCCGGGUCCCGAGGCGACAGAACAAAACCUCUGAGCUAAAAUGAUGUGUGAAGGACACAGGCAGGUCAACCCGGGAAGAAGGAAAAGCAAGCCUGCAAGCAGAAAAAGGUGCCAGUCUGUCUGGAACACCCGCGUCCAUAAAGGGCUGCCCCGCGCCAGCGUGUGCAGAUAGGUGGAAGGUUCUAGACUAGAGACAUGCGCGCCACGAAAUGACUCCAACCCUGAAACCCUUUGCCCUGUGCACGGCAGAAAAAUGAUCGUGUGAAGUUGUAAAAACGGGAAGGAUGAGACGAGCCUGGAAAUUAUCCAAUUAAAGGAAGGAAGAUUGCAGACUCGCUUCGUCACCUGAAGGGAGAGAGGAGGCCUUACACAACGGGAGGAGAUGAUCACAUCGCUUAAGUGGGCAUUGAUCAAUGUGUUGGGCAGGACAAGUGGAAAUGUUUUUUUCUUAAAUAAUUCAAACCUGACAGAACCUGGCAAAAGAACCUAGCUAUGAUGAUCAACUGAAAAAAAAAAUAAUAAUUCAAACCUGCAGGCUUCCAACCCCGUGGAAGGUAGCAGAAAGGUCUGCUCCCUCUAUAAAAACUUGUGGUGCCCCAGCGGCGAAGGAGGAGCAUUUAAAGGAGAAAUAAGUAGAACUCACUCCCCGUCUGCAGCUGAGAGCGAUGAAGGAAGGCCCAGCUGCUAAGUACACAGUAGCCUUCAGCUGAACCCCUGGCGGAAGGAGAAGGAAAUGCCAUCCGCCUGCUGACCUGGAGGAGAGCAGACUUAAACCACAUAAUGACAUUAUCAUUUUACAUUAAGUAAAAAUGUCUUCGAACGUUCAAUACUUGUCAAAACCUCUGACAUGUUUCCAUGGCUGGUUGUUCAUUUUUCCCCCGAACAAGUCGAUAGAGGGCGCGGUGGGGGAGGCCCCUGAAAUGGAAAGGGCACUACGGUUAUGGGCGUGUUGAUGGGAUCCUAUCGUAAUCGUGCCGUCGGAUAACGUUGUUGUCGUGGGGAAGCGGUGUGCUUAUUCCAUCGGAAGCGGCACGGCACAGCGUGAAGCCAGAGGUUCCUACCGUCUCCGCUGGCUGUGUAUCAGUUUUAUGGCCCUGGGCAAGCGACUUCGCUCUUCUGGACCUCCUGUUGCAUAAGAUGACGGUGCAGUACUUGCUGGUGUGGCUGCUUCAGGGAUGAAAUGAAAAGCAGGUCUGGGAGCCCGCGCUGGUUUGGCUCAGUGGAUAGGGUGUCCGCCUGAGGACUGAAGGGUCCCGGGCUUGAUUCUGGUCCAGGGCACAGGCCCGGGUCGCAGGCUCCAUCCCCAGUGGGGGGCGUGCAGGAG
Molecule: long non-coding RNA, 3082 nt
Organism: Myotis myotis
Lineage: Eukaryota; Metazoa; Chordata; Mammalia; Chiroptera; Vespertilionidae
Exons: 5
Source: RefSeq, a predicted model, not a curated record